UUUUUUGGCCUUUUCUGGCUUUAUUGACAGUAUAGCUGAAGAGUGUGAGAGGAAACAGGGUAAGAGAGGGGAGUGACACGCAGCAAAGGGACCUGGGCCGGGGUUGAACCCGGCUCUGCUGCAGAGCCUCAGCACAUGGGUCGCGCGCGCUACCAACUGAGCUAAGUGGCGCCCCCUUAGUAUUGUUUCUCAUAUGAGGCUCCUUUUUCAACUAAGCUUUAGGAGUGUUCCACCUUAAAUAUCCUCCAUGUUACGUUCAGGAAUCGACACUUCUCGGCUGCCAUGAUGACUAGGAGUGGAACAAGCUACUGCUAAGUAUCUGCCUGUGAAACAGAGAGCAUGUCCGUUGGAGGUGUUGCUGUUCUCGCCUGUCCUGCUACCUCCAGCUGCGUGUCUACCGCCCCCCACAGGCCAGCCGAGGUUACCCCAUGCUGACCUGUUUAAUUGUCUGCCUGUCCCAGGGCCCACUGGGAGAUUUGGUGAUCGAGGGGAGUCUGCCCUGAGCACCAGCAACAGAAAUACCCCCACUGAGUCCAGACACUGGUGGUGGUGGUGGUGAAAGAUGACUCUUCUGAGACUGGAACGCUGAUGGGAAUAUGAAACUUAUGAAACUAAGGAAUUUGCAAAGACUGAGUGGCGCUGGGCAAAUGGAACUGAUGGCAAAACAGCUGCAUGAAGGAAAUAAAGGCACAGAGAGCAUUGCAUUUAAAAAGACAGCAGCAAGAUGAUCUGAACACUGACGGUGUAUCAUUGUGCUAUGGGAUAGAUGUGACUGGCUGAUGUGAACAGCUGAAAUCAAUUGACAG
Acanthopagrus latus (yellowfin seabream) is the source of this 806-nucleotide long non-coding RNA. RefSeq lists it as uncharacterized. The transcript has 3 exons. The record is from RefSeq and is a predicted model, not a curated record. NCBI's taxonomy places the organism in Eukaryota, Metazoa, Chordata, Actinopteri, Spariformes, Sparidae.